UUUUACAUGAGAGUUUGAUCCUGGCUCAGGACGAACGCUGGCGGCGUGCCUAAUACAUGCAAGUCGAACGGUCUUUUCUAUGGAAGCUUGCUUCCACUGAGAAGAUAGUGGCGAACGGGUGAGUAACACGUGGGUAACCUGCCCAUAAGAGGGGGAUAACAUCCGGAAACGGGUGCUAAUACCGCAUAGGUUUCUUAGUCGCAUGAUCGAGAAAGGAA
This 218-nucleotide ribosomal RNA is filed under the name Trichococcus ilyis. Its description in RNAcentral is "16S rRNA. Bacterial SSU". It matches the Rfam family "Bacterial small subunit ribosomal RNA", at positions 1 to 205 of the family's 1533-position model. The record is from RNAcentral. Lineage: Bacteria; Bacillati; Bacillota; Bacilli; Lactobacillales; Carnobacteriaceae.